RNAcentral lists this ribosomal RNA (484 nucleotides) under uncultured bacterium. RNAcentral describes it as "partial 16S ribosomal RNA". It matches the Rfam family "Bacterial small subunit ribosomal RNA", at positions 30 to 507 of the family's 1533-position model. The record is from RNAcentral.
AUUGAACGCUGGCGGCAGGCCUAACACAUGCAAGUCGAGCGGAUGAAGGGAGCUUGCUCCUGGAUUCAGCGGCGGACGGGUGAGUAAUGCCUAGGAAUCUGCCUGGUAGUGGGGGAUAACGUCCGGAAACGGGCGCUAUUACCGCCUACGUCCUGAGGGAGAAAGGGGGGGAUCUUCGGACCUCACGCUAUCAGAUAAGCCUAGGUCGGAUUAGCUAGUUGGUGGGGUAAAGGCCUACCAAGGCGACGAUCCGUAACUGGUCUGAGAGGAUGAUCAGUCACACUGGAACUGAGACACGGUCCAGACUCCUACGGGAGGCAGCAGUGGGGAAUAUUGGACAAUGGGCGAAAGCCUGAUCCAGCCAUGCCGCGUGUGUGAAGAAGGUCUUCGGAUUGUAAAGCACUUUAAGUUGGGAGGAAGGGCAGUAAGUUAAUACCUUGCUGUUUUGACGUUACCAACAGAAUAGGCACCGGCUAACUUCGUG